CCUACGGGAGGCUGCAGUAGGGAAUCUUUCACAAUGGGCGAAAGCCUGAUGGAGCAACGCCGCGUGCAGGAUGAAGGCCUUCUGGUUGUAAACUGCUUUUAUAAGCGAGAAAUAUGAUGGUAACUUAUGAAUAAGGAUCGGCUAACUACGUGCCAGCAGCCGCGGUCAUACGUAGGAUCCGAGCAUUAUCCGGAGUGACUGGGUGUAAAGAGUUGCGUAGGUGGCAUAAUAAGUAGCUAGUGAAAUCUGGUGGCUCAACCAUUCAGACUAUUAGCUAAACUGUUAAGCUCGAGACCGUUAGGGGUAACUGGAAUGUCUAGUGUAGGAGUGAAAUCCGUAGAUAUUAGAAGGAACACCAAUAGCGUAGGCAGGUUACUGGGACGGUUCUGACACUAAGGCACGAAAGCGUAGGGAGCAAACGGGAUUAGAUACCCUUGUAGUC
RNAcentral lists this ribosomal RNA (442 nucleotides) under uncultured bacterium. Its description in RNAcentral is "partial 16S ribosomal RNA". It matches the Rfam family "Bacterial small subunit ribosomal RNA", at positions 338 to 795 of the family's 1533-position model. The record is from RNAcentral.